GGAUCAAUGGUGAGACCUCAUACUGUCUCAAAGAGAGAUGAUGACUUAAAUAUCAUGCUCAAUAGGAUUACACUGAGGC
Small nucleolar RNA from Oryctolagus cuniculus (rabbit), 79 nucleotides. Its record names the gene SNORD115. It matches the Rfam family "Small nucleolar RNA SNORD115". Rfam says of the family: HBII-52 is a member of the C/D class of snoRNAs, which contain the C (UGAUGA) and D (CUGA) box motifs. Lineage: Eukaryota; Metazoa; Chordata; Mammalia; Lagomorpha; Leporidae. The record is from Ensembl.